Molecule: ribosomal RNA, 137 nt
Filed under: Chinchilla lanigera (long-tailed chinchilla)
Lineage: Eukaryota; Metazoa; Chordata; Mammalia; Rodentia; Chinchillidae
Source: RNAcentral
GUCUACGGCCAUACCACCCUGAACGUGCCCGAUCUCAUCUGAUCUCGGAAGCUAAGCAGGGUCGGGCCUGGUUUGUACUUGGAUGGGAGAAUAGAGUCUAGAAGUAAGUCUCAAGCAACUGCCUGGGGCCCUGCUCC